Long non-coding RNA from Schistocerca nitens (vagrant locust), 824 nucleotides. RefSeq lists it as uncharacterized. The record is from RefSeq and is a predicted model, not a curated record. The transcript is spliced from 3 exons. NCBI's taxonomy places the organism in Eukaryota, Metazoa, Arthropoda, Insecta, Orthoptera, Acrididae.
UGCUGCUUCACAGAGUUUCUGACAUAUUGUAGAAGCUGUCCGAAUCUUGUCGGCUCAACUUCUGAUGCAGCUACAGCUACAUCAAACAAAGUAUUGGGCUGCCAUUUUCCAACAGGACAAUGGCCGCCCACAUGCGGUACAUCUCCCUAUGAACUGGUGCGUGAUGACAUGGGCCAGAUAGCUUCAUGAGAGGAUACAGCGGCUUUAUAACACUCUUUCCAACCGAAUCACUUCAUGGUUCCAUGCCAGACUGGGUCAGCAUCGUACUGAGAGUUGCAGUUGUCCUGUGUUUGUCAAAAGCUGCUGUAAGUGCCAACGCCUUGGCGGGGAGUGAGGUGUGGCCCGCAGCCUAGGCCCUGCUGUGUUUACGUAACCCUGCCACGGCCGGAUUGCUUUGGGCGAAGACCCCAUACAAAAGGAUUAGUAUAUCUUUUCCUUCCACCAAGGCGGGUAAAACGCGUUUUGUAAUUUGUGAUUUUCUGAUGUUUAAACAAAUAGACCUGCAACUAAGUGUAAUCUGGGUUUGUUUCACGGCAAUCUUUCCUGCUCCCGUUACAUAUCUAUGUUCUAAGGAAUUGUGGUUAACCACAUGAGGGGAAGUUGUUUGGGCAAUGUAGGGCCGUGUAGCGUUCAAAUGCAAUUAAGUGGCUGGCCCACUCUGAUAGGAACUGUACUGUCAGUUGUAAGCUUUCGUUAAGUGUGGCGAAGCCACGGCAAUACUGUGUUUGCUAGUUGUUUCUGAACUGUUUUACAUGCACUUUAUGGUUAUACUUGUUUUGUGUCAAUAAGAACUUAUACCAAGUAACUGCUGCUUGUGGUGAAUA